AACACAUGCAAGUCGAACGGAAAGGCCCUUUCGGGGUACUCGAGUGGCGAACGGGUGAGUAACACGUGGGUGAUCUGCCCUGCACUUCGGGAUAAGCUUGGGAAACUGGGUCUAAUACCGGAUAGGACUACGGCCUGCAUGGGUUGUGGUGGAAAGCUUUUGCGGUGUGGGAUGGGCCCGCGGCCUAUCAGCUUGUUGGUGGGGUGAUGGCCUACCAAGGCGACGACGGGUAGCCGGCCUGAGAGGGUGUCCGGCCACACUGGGACUGAGAUACGGCCCAGACUCCUACGGGAGGCAGCAGUGGGGAAUAUUGCACAAUGGGCGAAAGCCUGAUGCAGCGACGCCGCGUGAGGGAUGACGGCCUUCGGGUUGUAAACCUCUUUCAGUAGGGAAGAAGCGAAAGUGACGGUACCUGCAGAAGAAG
RNAcentral lists this ribosomal RNA (424 nucleotides) under grassland soil clone sl3_815. RNAcentral describes it as "bacterial SSU rRNA". It matches the Rfam family "Bacterial small subunit ribosomal RNA", at positions 50 to 490 of the family's 1533-position model. The record is from RNAcentral.